UACGGGAGGCAGCAGUGGGGAAUAUUGCACAAUGGGCGAAAGCCUGAUGCAGCUAUGCCGCGUGUAUGAAGAAGGCCUUAGGGUUGUAAAGUACUUUCAUCGGGGAGGAAAAACAAAACUAAUAAUUUUAUUUCUUGACGUUACCCGAAAAAGAAGCACCGGCUAACUCCGUGCCAGCAGCCGCGGUAAUACGGAGGGUGCUAGCGUUAAUCAGAAUUACUGGGCGUAAAGAGCACGUAGGUGGUUUUUUUAAGUCAGAUGUGAAAUCCCUGGGCUUAACCUGGAACUGCAUUUUGAAACUGAAAUACUAGAGUAUCGUAGAGGGAGGUAGAAUUCUAGGUGUAGCGGUGAAAUGCGUAGAUAUCUGGAGGAAUACCUGUGGCGAAAGCGGCCUCCUAAACGAAUACUGACACUGAGGGUGCGAAAGCGUGGGGAGCAAACAGGGAUUAGAUACCCGU
Molecule: ribosomal RNA, 458 nt
Filed under: uncultured bacterium
Lineage: Bacteria
Description: bacterial SSU rRNA
Rfam family: Bacterial small subunit ribosomal RNA
Source: RNAcentral